RNAcentral lists this ribosomal RNA (490 nucleotides) under uncultured bacterium. RNAcentral's name for it is "partial 16S ribosomal RNA". It matches the Rfam family "Bacterial small subunit ribosomal RNA", at positions 30 to 507 of the family's 1533-position model. The record is from RNAcentral.
AUUGAACGCUGGCGGCAUGCUUUACACAUGCAAGUCGGACGGCAGCACAGAGAAGCUUGCUUCUUGGGUGGCGAGUGGCGAACGGGUGAGUAACAUAUCGGAACGUACCGAGCAGUGGGGGAUAACUAAUCGAAAGAUUAGCUAAUACCGCAUAUUUUCUGAGGAAGAAAGCAGGGGACCUUUGGGCCUUGCGCUGUUUGAGCGGCCGUUAUCUGAUUAGCUAGUUGGUGGGGUAAAGGCCUACCAAGGCGACGAUCAGUAGCGGGUCUGAGAGGAUGAUCCGCCACACUGGGACUGAGACACGGCCCAGACUCCUACGGGAGGCAGCAGUGGGGAAUUUUGGACAAUGGGCGCAAGCCUGAUCCAGCCAUGCCGCGUGUCUGAAGAAGGCCUUCGGGUUGUAAAGGACUUUUGUCAGGGAAGAAAAGGGCGGGGUUAAUACCCCUGUCUGAUGACGGUACCUGAAGAAUAAGCACCGGCUAACUACGUG